Molecule: long non-coding RNA, 1201 nt
Organism: Amphiprion ocellaris (clown anemonefish)
Lineage: Eukaryota; Metazoa; Chordata; Actinopteri; Pomacentridae
Source: Ensembl
CAGAGGUGAGUUACACAUUGUGACACAUUGCUUCUUUAUUCAUGUGUUUGUUUGUUUCAGGUGCUGAGAGACCAAGUGGUGGACGUCCAGAGAGGAGAGAUCCUGAGAGAUCAAGUGGUGGACGUCCAGAGAGGAGAGGUGAGUUAGAAACAUGCACAUUGUCAGUCAUUGUAGACAGUAGACUUUGUUGCUUUACUUAUGUGUUUAUUGUGUUUGAUUGUUUCAGAUGCUGAGAGAUCAAGUGGUGGACGUCCAGAGGGGAGAGAUGCUGAGAGAUCAAGUGGUGGACGUCCAGAGAGGAGAGGUCCUGAGAGAGCAAGUGGUGGACGUCCAGAGAGGAGAGAUGCUGAGAGAUCAAGUGGUGGACGUCCAUAGAGGAGAGAUCAUGAGAGAUCAAGUGGUGGACGUCCAGAGAGGAGAGAUCCUGAGAGACCAAGCGGUGGACGUCCAGAGAGGAGAGGUGAGUUACACAUUGUCACACAUUGCUGCUUUAUUCAUGUGUUUGUUUUUUUCAGAUGCUGAGAGACCAAGCGGUGGACGUCCAGAGAGGAGAGAUCCUGAGAGACCAAGUGGUGGACGUCCAGAGAGGAGAGGUCCUGAGAGAUCAAGCGGUGGACGUCCAGAGAGGAGAGAUCCUGAGAGAUCAAGUGGUGGACGUCCAGAGAGGAGAGGUGAGUUAAACAUUGUCACACAUUGCUGCUUUAUUCAUGUGUUUGAUUGUUUCAGAUGCUGAGAGACCAAGUGGUGGACGUCCAGAGAGAAGAGAUCCUGAGAGACCAAGUGGUGGACGUCCAGAGAGGAGAGGAGGUUGACAGAGACAGACAGAGGUGAGUUACAACAAGGAAAUGUUAUGUAUGGUGUCACACAUUGAAGACAGCGUUGUUGAUUGUUUGCUUUUGUGUUCAUGUCUUUUAGGAGGUGUCAGAGGAUGUGCUGUGGAAGCUCUUCUUCUUCUUCUUCUUCUUCUUCUUCUUCUUCUUCUUCUUCUUCUUCUUCUUCUUCUUCUUCUUCUUCUUCUUCUUCUUCUUCUUCUUCUUCUUCUUCUUCUUCUUCUUCUUCUUCUUCUUCUUCUUCUUCUUCUUCUUCUUCUUCUUCUUCUUCUUCUUCUUCUUCUUCUUCUUCUUCUUCUUCUUCUUCUUAAUGGAAUUUCACCUAAAUAAAAAAAAAAAAAAAAAAAAAAGAGUCCAAACUGCAUUGUCGU